Melospiza melodia melodia is the source of this 357-nucleotide long non-coding RNA. RefSeq lists it as uncharacterized. NCBI's taxonomy places the organism in Eukaryota, Metazoa, Chordata, Aves, Passeriformes, Passerellidae. The record is from RefSeq and is a predicted model, not a curated record. The transcript is spliced from 2 exons.
CUUGUGCCCCAGGAGGAUUUAAAGCCCUGCCUGUGCCCAGGGAGGCAGCCCCCACGCUGCCCAUCCACGCCAUGAGGCUGCUGUCCCUGCUCCUGCUCCUGGGGCUCUGCUGCCUCUGGGCCCGGCUGCUCUCCCCAGAAUUCACCUAGCCCCCACCUGGAUCUGGACCUGGACCAAGGACCCAGUCUGUGCACACCAGACAGCCAGACAACAGCUGGACAGCCAGCCAUGGAGGGCUCCAUCAGCUGCUGGAUGAUCACCCAGCCUCCCAAUCCCACCUCAGCACCCUCAGCUCUGUGCUUGCCAUAGGGGUCUCUGUGCCCCCCACCCCCAGUAAACCCAGUCUGUGAUGAACAA